This 253-nucleotide ribosomal RNA is filed under the name uncultured bacterium. RNAcentral's name for it is "partial 16S ribosomal RNA". It matches the Rfam family "Bacterial small subunit ribosomal RNA", at positions 524 to 776 of the family's 1533-position model. The record is from RNAcentral.
UACGGAGGGUGCGAGCGUUAAUCGGAAUUACUGGGCGUAAAGCGUCUGUAGGUGGUGAUGCAAGUCACUGGUGCAAAACUCUGGCUCAACCGGAGGAAAGCCAGUGAAACUGCAUGACUAGAGUGUGGGAGAGGUAGAAGGAAUUCCCUGAGUAGCGGUGAAAUGCGUAGAUACAGGGAAGAACACCGGAGGCGAAAGCGUUCUACUGGAACACAACUGACACUGAGAGACGAAAGCUAGGGGAGCGAAUGGG